RNAcentral lists this ribosomal RNA (2903 nucleotides) under Staphylococcus aureus. RNAcentral describes it as "partial 23S ribosomal RNA". It matches the Rfam family "Bacterial large subunit ribosomal RNA". Lineage: Bacteria; Bacillati; Bacillota; Bacilli; Caryophanales; Staphylococcaceae. The record is from RNAcentral.
GAUUAAGUUAUUAAGGGCGCACGGUGGAUGCCUUGGCACUAGAAGCCGAUGAAGGACGUUACUAACGACGAUAUGCUUUGGGGAGCUGUAAGUAAGCUUUGAUCCAGAGAUUUCCGAAUGGGGAAACCCAGCAUGAGUUAUGUCAUGUUAUCGAUAUGUGAAUACAUAGCAUAUCAGAAGGCACACCCGGAGAACUGAAACAUCUUAGUACCCGGAGGAAGAGAAAGAAAAUUCGAUUCCCUUAGUAGCGGCGAGCGAAACGGGAAGAGCCCAAACCAACAAGCUUGCUUGUUGGGGUUGUAGGACACUCUAUACGGAGUUACAAAGGACGACAUUAGACGAAUCAUCUGGAAAGAUGAAUCAAAGAAGGUAAUAAUCCUGUAGUCGAAAAUGUUGUCUCUCUUGAGUGGAUCCUGAGUACGACGGAUCACGUGAAAUUCCGUCGGAAUCUGGGAGGACCAUCUCCUAAGGCUAAAUACUCUCUAGUGACCGAUAGUGAACCAGUACCGUGAGGGAAAGGUGAAAAGCACCCCGGAAGGGGAGUGAAAUAGAACCUGAAACCGUGUGCUUACAAGUAGUCAGAGCCCGUUAAUGGGUGAUGGCGUGCCUUUUGUAGAAUGAACCGGCGAGUUACGAUUUGAUGCAAGGUUAAGCAGUAAAUGUGGAGCCGUAGCGAAAGCGAGUCUGAAUAGGGCGUUUAGUAUUUGGUCGUAGACCCGAAACCAGGUGAUCUACCCUUGGUCAGGUUGAAGUUCAGGUAACACUGAAUGGAGGACCGAACCGACUUACGUUGAAAAGUGAGCGGAUGAACUGAGGGUAGCGGAGAAAUUCCAAUCGAACCUGGAGAUAGCUGGUUCUCUCCGAAAUAGCUUUAGGGCUAGCCUCAAGUGAUGAUUAUUGGAGGUAGAGCACUGUUUGGACGAGGGGCCCCUCUCGGGUUACCGAAUUCAGACAAACUCCGAAUGCCAAUUAAUUUAACUUGGGAGUCAGAACAUGGGUGAUAAGGUCCGUGUUCGAAAGGGAAACAGCCCAGACCACCAGCUAAGGUCCCAAAAUAUAUGUUAAGUGGAAAAGGAUGUGGCGUUGCCCAGACAACUAGGAUGUUGGCUUAGAAGCAGCCAUCAUUUAAAGAGUGCGUAAUAGCUCACUAGUCGAGUGACACUGCGCCGAAAAUGUACCGGGGCUAAACAUAUUACCGAAGCUGUGGAUUGUCCUUUGGACAAUGGUAGGAGAGCGUUCUAAGGGCGUUGAAGCAUGAUCGUAAGGACAUGUGGAGCGCUUAGAAGUGAGAAUGCCGGUGUGAGUAGCGAAAGACGGGUGAGAAUCCCGUCCACCGAUUGACUAAGGUUUCCAGAGGAAGGCUCGUCCGCUCUGGGUUAGUCGGGUCCUAAGCUGAGGCCGACAGGCGUAGGCGAUGGAUAACAGGUUGAUAUUCCUGUACCACCUAUAAUCGUUUUAAUCGAUGGGGGGACGCAGUAGGAUAGGCGAAGCGUGCGAUUGGAUUGCACGUCUAAGCAGUAAGGCUGAGUAUUAGGCAAAUCCGGUACUCAUUAAGGCUGAGCUGUGAUGGGGAGAAGACAUUGUGUCUUCGAGUCGUUGAUUUCACACUGCCGAGAAAAGCCUCUAGAUAGAAAAUAGGUGCCCGUACCGCAAACCGACACAGGUAGUCAAGAUGAGAAUUCUAAGGUGAGCGAGCGAACUCUCGUUAAGGAACUCGGCAAAAUGACCCCGUAACUUCGGGAGAAGGGGUGCUCUUUAGGGUUAACGCCCAGAAGAGCCGCAGUGAAUAGGCCCAAGCGACUGUUUAUCAAAAACACAGGUCUCUGCUAAACCGUAAGGUGAUGUAUAGGGGCUGACGCCUGCCCGGUGCUGGAAGGUUAAGAGGAGUGGUUAGCUUCUGCGAAGCUACGAAUCGAAGCCCCAGUAAACGGCGGCCGUAACUAUAACGGUCCUAAGGUAGCGAAAUUCCUUGUCGGGUAAGUUCCGACCCGCACGAAAGGCGUAACGAUUUGGGCACUGUCUCAACGAGAGACUCGGUGAAAUCAUAGUACCUGUGAAGAUGCAGGUUACCCGCGACAGGACGGAAAGACCCCGUGGAGCUUUACUGUAGCCUGAUAUUGAAAUUCGGCACAGCUUGUACAGGAUAGGUAGGAGCCUUUGAAACGUGAGCGCUAGCUUACGUGGAGGCGCUGGUGGGAUACUACCCUAGCUGUGUUGGCUUUCUAACCCGCACCACUUAUCGUGGUGGGAGACAGUGUCAGGCGGGCAGUUUGACUGGGGCGGUCGCCUCCUAAAAGGUAACGGAGGCGCUCAAAGGUUCCCUCAGAAUGGUUGGAAAUCAUUCAUAGAGUGUAAAGGCAUAAGGGAGCUUGACUGCGAGACCUACAAGUCGAGCAGGGUCGAAAGACGGACUUAGUGAUCCGGUGGUUCCGCAUGGAAGGGCCAUCGCUCAACGGAUAAAAGCUACCCCGGGGAUAACAGGCUUAUCUCCCCCAAGAGUUCACAUCGACGGGGAGGUUUGGCACCUCGAUGUCGGCUCAUCGCAUCCUGGGGCUGUAGUCGGUCCCAAGGGUUGGGCUGUUCGCCCAUUAAAGCGGUACGCGAGCUGGGUUCAGAACGUCGUGAGACAGUUCGGUCCCUAUCCGUCGUGGGCGUAGGAAAUUUGAGAGGAGCUGUCCUUAGUACGAGAGGACCGGGAUGGACAUACCUCUGGUGUACCAGUUGUCGUGCCAACGGCAUAGCUGGGUAGCUAUGUGUGGACGGGAUAAGUGCUGAAAGCAUCUAAGCAUGAAGCCCCCCUCAAGAUGAGAUUUCCCAACUUCGGUUAUAAGAUCCCUCAAAGAUGAUGAGGUUAAUAGGUUCGAGGUGGAAGCAUGGUGACAUGUGGAGCUGACGAAUACUAA